This 1849-nucleotide long non-coding RNA is filed under the name Homo sapiens (human). Its description in RNAcentral is "HSALNT0223380". The record is from RNAcentral. Lineage: Eukaryota; Metazoa; Chordata; Mammalia; Primates; Hominidae.
CUACCAUCCUUCCUGGUGCCAGGGCCCACACAAGUCAUGAAGCAAACACAGCCCCCGCCAGGAUACCAGAUGGUUAAUCAUCUGGAGGAUGUGGGUGUCCUGGGAGUAUCACUCCUAAUUUAGACAGUGGACAGCAACAUGCACUUCCUGUACAUUUAACUCAAACCCUAUGGAGGUGGCACCACGAUGGGGACACCUGGAUGGAUGUAGUGAAGGAACACAAUACAGUUAGAAUCCCUCACUUGCUGUGUGUUUCUGUUUCCCCAGGUAGGAGGAACUCCCCGAGGUCAGGAAGCAGUGUCUAUUCAUUUGUCGUAUGGAAUCACCACACCCUUCAGUGAUGGCCAUGCUUUCCUUGUCGCCUUCUUUGAGAUUGAGUGGGCCCCACAGAACGGCGUUCCCAGAAGCCUUGGUGACUGCUCAGAUCCCAGCUGCUUUACCUGCCAGCAUCCUGAAACUCAGUAAGAUCAGAGUCCAGACCUCGUAAGAUGUUGAGACUUCACCUACCGCUGCCCCACCCAGGCUGAUGAAGCAUCAAUCCAAGAUGAAGGGGCCCAUCCCUGAGUCUGUCUCUCUUCUCUGGCUUUGUCACUCUGGACUUUGCUUCCGGCUUCAAGUUUCUAGGUGUAAUAUGUGAAGAUUAAUGGCAAUGAAGCAAACGUGCAUAAGAAAAUCCACGCAGCAAAGGCAAUUCCGUUAUUCUCAAGUCCAUAGAUGCCCAGUGUGACAUUGUGAACUGGAGAAAAAGGAGCACUUCCUGUUCAGGAAAUCUUGUAAAAUCAUAAAUGUCAGGACUCAGUCAACAAUACCCCAAAAUGAAGGCCUCAGAAGCAUCCUCAGAGGAAAAAUUUAUUUCUCUGAUCUUCUCUUGCCCUCCUGUCUCUUAGCGCCAUUCUCCCCUGAGGCUAGACACAGACACUAGAAUCCCUCUGCCCCAGGGCAGGGCAUGGAAGCCAGAAGCCUUUUUCCCCAAAGCCAGCCAUAAAACUUAAAGAUGUCACUCUAACUUUCCCUCUGCCUUUCUGUGUGAAAACUGGCCAUAAAGAAACUAUCUGCCCUACCUUGUUUGACUGAAGGUCAUAAGACCCUCAUUCCAGAGAGGGUCCUGCCUCAUACUCAGAAGGAAGGAAUGCACGUUCAGCAAGGCCAAGAAGAAUCUAAACAGACAGGCCUUGCUGAGUUUCCCCACUCAGCCGAUUGACAUUGGAUCAUGCCCUUUUCGUCUAAUCCUAUAUCUACACGGCUGUCCAUACUUUGUUGAACAUAAGCAUAAAAAUGGUCAGUUUCCUCUGUAUCUUUGGGUCAUUCUGAAGGUUCUCAUGUACACAUUAAUAAAAUUUAUACCCAUUUUCUCCAAUUAACCUGCCUUUUGUGAGUUGAUUUUUCAGCAAACCUUCAGAAAAUGAAGAGGCUUUCCCUUUGCCCCUCCAGUAACAAAAUGGUAUCUCAUUCUCUAAAUACAAUUAUUUCUAUAAAAUGCCUUUUCUAGGCUGGGUGUGGUGGCUCACGCCUGUAAUUCCAGCACUUUGGGAGGCCGAGGCGGGGGGAGGUGGUGGGUGGAUCACUUGAGGCCAGCAGUUCAAGUCCAGUCUGGACAACAUGGUGAAACCUCGUCUCUACUAAAAAUACAAAAAUUAGCCGGGCGUGGUGGUGUGCACCUGUAGACCCAGCUACUCGAGAGGCUGAGGCAGGAGAAUCACUUGAACCUGGGAGGCAGAGGUUGCAGUGAGCCGAGAUCGCACCACUGCACUCCAGCCUGGGCAACAGAGCAAGACUCGGUCUCAAAAAAUAAAAUAAAAUAAAAUAAAAUAAAAUAAAAUAAAAUAAAAUAAAAUAAAAUAAAAUAAAA